AAACAUACUUACCUUACCCCUUAAUCCUUUUUUUGGCUGGUUGCUUUGAAAAGCUUGCAAAGGAGGAAAACAUGGAGGGAUUCCAGGAUUUCAGUCCCAUCUUUGUCUCCUGGCAUUAUUUCCUCAUCCCUUGCAUUAUCACUACCCUUCCUUGCUCCCUUCCACCCUCUAACCACACUCCCUUCUCCAUUGAAGCCUUAAGAGUGAAGCACCUCACCGGACCACUGUAGCGGCGACGAUCAAACCGGGGAGGAGCUCUUCAUUUCGUCAUCAACCUAGAGGACCACCGUGAGGAAUUUAUUUGGAUCUCAAUUGGGAUUAGACUUUUGUCAAAUCAGGAGCAGUAAACCCAGGGAUCUUAGAAGGCUUCCAGUAGAUGCCUUCUUUGGAAUUAUGUUCUGUGGCUUAUGUCUUUGCAUUUGUUGUAUUAUUGUUUAAGAACCUCCUUGUAGGUCGUACUGUAUUUCAUUCGCCUUGUAUUUGGGUUUGAUUGUAAACCUUAAGUUGUACUCUUAUUUAGUAUUUUGUCAGUUAUUUUCUACUCCUAGUAUGUGUUUAGGUUUUGAGGUCUUGCAGAUUCACUGGGCCCCGCCCUGUGGGUCUGUGGCCGUUUGUCAGCGCACCAGG
This is a long non-coding RNA of Dioscorea cayenensis subsp. rotundata (Guinea yam), 627 nucleotides long. RefSeq lists it as uncharacterized. Lineage: Eukaryota; Viridiplantae; Streptophyta; Magnoliopsida; Dioscoreales; Dioscoreaceae. The transcript has 3 exons. The record is from RefSeq and is a predicted model, not a curated record.